This 401-nucleotide ribosomal RNA is filed under the name uncultured bacterium. Its description in RNAcentral is "bacterial SSU rRNA". It matches the Rfam family "Bacterial small subunit ribosomal RNA", at positions 355 to 773 of the family's 1533-position model. The record is from RNAcentral.
UCGGGAAUUUUGGGCAAUGGGCGAAAGCCUGACCCAGCAACGCCACGUGAGGGAUGAAGUAUUUCGGUAUGUAAACCUCGAAAGAAUGGGAAGAAUAAAUGACGGUACCAUUUAUAAGCUCCGGCUAACUACGUGCCAGCAGCCGCGGUAAUACGUAGGGAGCAAGCGUUGUUCGGAUUUACUGGGCGUAAAGGGCGCGUAGGCGGCGCGGUAAGUCACUUGUGAAAUCUCUGAGCUUAACUCAGAACGGCCAAGUGAUACUGCUGUGCUAGGGUGCGGAAGAGGCAACCGGAAUUCUUGGUGUAGCGGGGAAAUGCGGAGAUAUCAAGACGAACACCUGAGGCGAAGGCGGGUUGCUGGGCCGACACUGACGCUGAUGCGCGAAAGCCAGGGGAGCAAAC